This 28-nucleotide non-coding RNA is filed under the name Mus musculus (house mouse). The record is from RNAcentral. Lineage: Eukaryota; Metazoa; Chordata; Mammalia; Rodentia; Muridae.
UGAAAAUUAGUUGGUGGUCCUUUGGGGA